UGGUGGGUAGUUUGACUGGGGCGGUCUCCUCCUAAAGAGUAACGGAGGAGCACGAAGGUUGGCUAAUCCUGGUCGGACAUCAGGAGGUUAGUGCAAUGGCAUAAGCCAGCUUGACUGCGAGCGUGACGGCGCGAGCAGGUGCGAAAGCAGGUCAUAGUGAUCCGGUGGUUCUGAAUGGAAGGGCCAUCGCUCAACGGAUAAAAGGUACUCCGGGGAUAACAGGCUGAUACCGCCCAAGAGUUCAUAUCGACGGCGGUGUUUGGCACCUCGAUGUCGGCUCAUCACAUCCUGGGGCUGAAGUAGGUCCCAAGGGUAUGGCUGUUCGCCAUUUAAAGUGGUACGCGAGCUGGGUUUAGAACGUCGUGAGACAGUUCGGUCCCUAUCUGCCGUGGGCGCUGGAGAACUGAGGGGGGCUGCUCCUAGUACGAGAGGACCGGAGUGGACGCAUCACUGGUGUUCGGGUUGUCAUGCCAAUGGCACUGCCCGGUAGCUAAAUGCGGAAGAGAUAAGUGCUGAAAGCAUCUAAGCACGAAACUUGCCCCGAGAUGAGUUCUCCCUGAGACUUUAGGUCUCCUGAAGGAACGUUGAAGACGACGACGUUGAUAGGCCGGGUGUGUAAGCGCAGCGAUGCGUUGAGCUAACCGGUAC
RNAcentral lists this ribosomal RNA (648 nucleotides) under Salmonella enterica subsp. enterica serovar Oranienburg. Its description in RNAcentral is "partial 23S ribosomal RNA". It matches the Rfam family "Bacterial large subunit ribosomal RNA", at positions 2259 to 2901 of the family's 2925-position model. Lineage: Bacteria; Pseudomonadati; Pseudomonadota; Gammaproteobacteria; Enterobacterales; Enterobacteriaceae. The record is from RNAcentral.